AACGAACGCUGGCGGCAUGCCUAACACAUGCAAGUCGAACGAGAUCUUCGGAUCUAGUGGCGCACGGGUGCGUAACGCGUGGGAAUCUGCCCCUUGCUUCGGAAUAACAGUGAGAAAUUACUGCUAAUACCGGAUGAUGUCUUCGGACCAAAGAUUUAUCGGCAAGGGAUGAGCCCGCGUAGGAUUAGGUAGUUGGUGGGGUAAUGGCCUACCAAGCCGACGAUCCUUAGCUGGUCUGAGAGGAUGAUCAGCCACACUGGGACUGAGACACGGCCCAGACUCCUGCGGGAGGCAGCAGUGGGGAAUAUUGGACAAUGGGCGAAAGCCUGAUCCAGCAAUGCCGCGUGAGUGAUGAAGGCCUUAGGGUUGUAAAGCUCUUUUACCAGGGAUGAUAAUGACAGUACCUGGAGAAUAAGCUCCGGCUAACUCCGUG
RNAcentral lists this ribosomal RNA (433 nucleotides) under uncultured bacterium. Its description in RNAcentral is "partial 16S ribosomal RNA". It matches the Rfam family "Bacterial small subunit ribosomal RNA", at positions 29 to 507 of the family's 1533-position model. The record is from RNAcentral.